This 492-nucleotide ribosomal RNA is filed under the name uncultured bacterium. RNAcentral's name for it is "partial 16S ribosomal RNA". It matches the Rfam family "Bacterial small subunit ribosomal RNA", at positions 29 to 507 of the family's 1533-position model. The record is from RNAcentral.
AGUGAACGCUGGCGGUAGGCCUAACACAUGCAAGUCGAACGGCAGCACAGUAAGAGCUUGCUCUUACGGGUGGCGAGUGGCGGACGGGUGAGGAAUACAUCGGAAUCUACUUUUUCGUGAGGGAUAACGUAGGGAAACUUACGCUAAUACCGCAUACGACCUACGGGUGAAAGCAGGGGAUCUUCGGACCUUGCGCGAUUGAAUGAGCCGAUGUCGGAUUAGCUAGUUGGCGGGGUAAAGGCCCACCAAGGCGACGCUCCGUAGCUGGUCUGAGAGGAUGAUCAGCCACACUGGAACUGAGACACGGUCCAGACUCCUACGGGAGGCAGCAGUGGGGAAUAUUGGACAAGGGGGGCAAGCCUGAUCCAGCCAUACCGCGUGGGUGAAGAAGGCCUUCGGGUUGUAAAGCCCUGUUGUUGGGAAAGAAAAGCAGCAGGUUAAUACCCCGCUGUUCUGACGGUACCCAAAGAAUAAGCACCGGCUAACUUCGUG